GGGUAGUUGCUUAAGCCAAAGAAUCGAGGUCUCAUCAUAAAUUCAAGCACAUUCUAAAAUGGUUCCACCUUAUUCGAGAGAUAGUCGAAAGACACGAUAUGAUCGUGGAGCGAGUUGACAUCAAGAAUAAUAUAGCAGAUCUGUUCACUAUGGUCUUGUCAUUGUAGUAGUUUGACUACCAUCUAGAUAGCAUGAGCAUCAAGUAUAGGGGUGAUUGGUUUUAGUGCAAGUGGGAGAUUAAAAGAAU
Molecule: long non-coding RNA, 247 nt
Filed under: Elaeis guineensis (African oil palm)
Lineage: Eukaryota; Viridiplantae; Streptophyta; Magnoliopsida; Arecales; Arecaceae
Description: long non-coding RNA (EGUI_LNC050609)
Source: RNAcentral